GAUGAACGCUGGCGGCGCGCCUAACACAUGCAAGUCGAACGGUUAAAGCACCUUUUAGGUGUGUAUAAAGUGGCGAACGGCUGAGUAACACGUGGGCAACCUGCCCUCCUCUUGGGGAUAGCCUCGGGAAACCGAGGAUAAUACCCGAUACUUCAAUGUGGCCGCAUGACGACAUUGAGAAAGCUUUUGCGGAGAAGGAUGGGCCCGCGGCCUGUUAGCUUGUUGGUGGGGUAGAGGCCUACCAAGGCAAUGAUGGGUAGCUGGGUUGAGAGACCGACCAGCCAGAUUGGGACUGAGACACGGCCCAGACUCCUACGGGAGGCAGCAGUGGGGAAUCUUGCACAAUGGGCGAAAGCCUGAUGCAGCGACGCCGCGGGCGGGACGAAGGCCUUCGGGUUGGAAACCGCUUUCAGCAGGGACGAGGCGAUAAGUGACGGUACCUGCAGAAGAAGCCCCGGCUAACUACGUG
This 469-nucleotide ribosomal RNA is filed under the name uncultured bacterium. Its description in RNAcentral is "partial 16S ribosomal RNA". It matches the Rfam family "Bacterial small subunit ribosomal RNA", at positions 28 to 507 of the family's 1533-position model. The record is from RNAcentral.